This 212-nucleotide long non-coding RNA is filed under the name Bos taurus (domestic cattle). Its description in RNAcentral is "long non-coding RNA NONBTAT013802". Lineage: Eukaryota; Metazoa; Chordata; Mammalia; Artiodactyla; Bovidae. The record is from RNAcentral.
CUGUAGGGAGUCCAGGAUAUUCUCUCUGAGGCUCAGAGUCCAACAAUGAUUUCUUUGUCCUGAGUGAUAACUGUCUUUUCCCUUAAGCCAAUGAAUGCUAUGGAUUCCAUUGAUGGGGAAUCACAGAGUAAUACAAUUCACUUAAAUAAAAAAUGGACUUAUUCUAUAUCUCAGAAACAUUAACCCCUUUACACAGGUCCUAUUUUCUGUCC